Gopherus evgoodei (Goodes thornscrub tortoise) is the source of this 608-nucleotide long non-coding RNA. RefSeq lists it as uncharacterized. Lineage: Eukaryota; Metazoa; Chordata; Testudines; Testudinidae. The record is from RefSeq and is a predicted model, not a curated record. The transcript is spliced from 3 exons.
UUCCACAUUAGGUGUUUCCAGAAGUUUCUGUUGAAGGUAUGGAACCACUCAUCAGAAUUCAUGCAACACUGGGCACUGGUUCCAAACCAGGGACCAAAUCCCUCAACUGAUGGAUAGUCCCAGUGAACAUCCGCAGGCAUCUUCCUGGUCCAAGGACCUUUAGGGAGAAGUGUAUGCAGUGGAAUGUCUUCUGACCUGUUUUACAGGCACGAACACACCACUAUAUGUUUGUUAGAGAAAGCAGGGUCAAAGAAGUGAAUCUUACGCUGCAGCAGAAGGUGGUGAGGUUCCAGAGCCACCUCAAAGGCAACCACAUCCUACUCAAAUUGGACACCAUCACAAGAGUGGUGUAUUUCAAAACCAAGAAGGAACUUGAAACUAGACUCUACACUGGGAAGCAAUAGCAAUAACGAAAUGGGUGGAGAAGAAUCCAGUUUCUGUAAGAGCAAUAAGCAAAGGGAGAACCACAUCAGAAGGCAGAUUAGCUUGGCAGACAUGCAGCUGAAAAAUUCAGAAUGGUGUCUGAAUCAGGUAGUCCUCAACAUGAUCUCUCAGAAAUUUGGUAUUUCAGCUGUCAGUCUGCAUCACAAAGACAGAAUGGUGCCAAA